Molecule: long non-coding RNA, 451 nt
Filed under: Dermacentor andersoni
Lineage: Eukaryota; Metazoa; Arthropoda; Arachnida; Ixodida; Ixodidae
Description: uncharacterized LOC126545191
Source: RNAcentral
UCUCUCGUUUCCUCCGUAUCUUGCCAACACCGCUCAGACGUGCACAUAUGUAGCGGUGGCUUAUCACACAGCUCUUGUAAGCAACCAGAGACUGACGCUUAAUAGAAGUCCGAUGUGUUCGUUGUCUACGCUAUAGUUUGAAAGCUGUGAGAAAGUGUGUGCUAUUAAAGCUUAGAGGUAACUUCAGUGUUGUACCUACAAACGAGAACUUGUGUGGUCAGAGUCUUCGGAGACAUAUAUAUCCAUGCUGACCACGUUCGUCGCGCUCUUCGCGCUCACGGCGACGCUUCUGUUUUGGUGGCUGCGAAGGACAUUCACCUUUUGGAAGGACAAGGGAAUAGCGCACCUUACCUUUUCUCAGUACAUGCGCUUCCUCUACGAUCUUUACACUAAGCCCGUGAACAAAGUGAUCAUCAGUUCCUACACCCAAUACGGCCGUGUGUACGGGUAA